UGUUUCUCGGAUUAACUAAAUUUUUAAACAAUUGGGUUAAAAAACUUAAAUUAUCUUGAAACUUACCUUGAAAAUAAACUUGAUUAUUUUAUUUUGCAAUAACUUCCCAGAAAAAUUUUUCCAUGACCAGGGAAUCAACUUUUCUUCCAACCUUUUGUGUUCUACACAACAAAUUUAAACGAUUUACGUAUCUAGGUAGUUAUGUGAAACACUCGAUAAAAAUUGGCACACAUCGUUGUCAAUUGCAUAAUCCCGUCCUUAUUUACAUAUUGCUGAUUUCACUUUAGUUCAGUACCUAUUACAUGCAGAAGUAAAGUUAUAAAUUUGCUGUUUCAGGAGAAACAAAUUAAUAAUCAACAUUUAUUACUUGAACCAUUUAUCAAUUUUUUUGCAAAGUUUAAAGCAAAAUUUGCACAUUCGCGAAAUAAUUAUCUCCAUGAAUAUAAAAUGCUUACAUAUUAACUACACAUUUUAUGUUUUGGUGUAUGUAUGGGUGUGAAUGUUUCAUUGGAUUCGCACAUUCGUGCAAUAACAUCCUCGCAUGCUUCUCAUCCCUUUUUUGGAAAUUUGUGAAAAAUGAGAUCCGAUUUCUUAGUCAAUGUGUUCCACGUCCUUCUCCGUCUCGCCCUCUACGACGACCAAAAUUCCACUGGAAUCAUUUGGGACAAUAUUACUUUCACAUCCCUCUCAUCGACUUUCCCGGCGUAAAAUGUCGAGUUCAAUGUCGGUACGACGGUCAACAAAUAGCCGACCCGUACGACUGCCACUCUUUUUACGUGUGCUCCAACUGGAUAUCGUACAAGCACAUGUGUCCCCUCUUUAACCACACCGACCGGCUUAUUUUCCACCCUCUCGACUGGGCCUGCGUCUCACUCGAGGACUAGCCAUGCAAUCAACCUUGCCGGGAGCCAUGAAAAUUUCGUAAAUUAAUAAGUUAAAUUUCCGAAAAUAAAACAAAAUGAAAUUCUGACAUAA
Molecule: long non-coding RNA, 975 nt
Organism: Folsomia candida
Lineage: Eukaryota; Metazoa; Arthropoda; Collembola; Entomobryomorpha; Isotomidae
Exons: 2
Source: RefSeq, a predicted model, not a curated record